CCCCAAAUACAUGCAAGUCGAACGCACUCUCGUUUAGAUUGAAGGAGCUUGCUCCUGAUUGAUAAACAUUUGAGUGAGUGGCGGACGGGUGAGUAACACGUGGGUAACCUGCCCUAAAGUGGGGGAUAACAUUUGGAAACAGAUGCUAAUACCGCAUAAAACCUAACACCGCAUGGUGUAGGGUUGAAAGAUGGUUUCGGCUAUCACUUUAGGAUGGACCCGCGGUGCAUUAGUUAGUUGGUGAGGUAAAGGCUCACCAAGACCGUGAUGCAUAGCCGACCUGAGAGGGUAAUCGGCCACACUGGGACUGAGACACGGCCCAGACUCCUACGGGAGGCAGCAGUAGGGAAUCUUCCACAAUGGACGAAAGUCUGAUGGAGCAACGCCGCGUGAGUGAAGAAGGUUUUCGGAUCGUAAAACUCUGUUGUUGGAGAAGAAUGUAUCUGAUAGUAACUGAUCAGGUAGUGACGGUAUCCAACCAGAAAGCCACGGCUAACUACGUGCCAGCAGCCGCGGUAAUACGUAGGUGGCAAGCGUUGUCCGGAUUUAUUGGGCGUAAAGCGAGCGCAGGCGGUUUCUUAAGUCUGAUGUGAAAGCCUUCGGCUCAACCGAAGAAGUGCAUCGGAAACUGGGAAACUUGAGUGCAGAAGAGGACAGUGGAACUCCAUGUGUAGCGGUGAAAUGCGUAGAUAUAUGGAAGAACACCAGUGGCGAAGGCGGCUGUCUGGUCUGUAACUGACGCUGAGGCUCGAAAGCAUGGGUAGCAAACAGGAUUAGAUACCCUGGUAGUCCAUGCCGUAGACGAUGAGUGCUAGGUGUUGGAAGGGUUUCCCCCCUUCAGUGCCGCAGCUAACGCAUUAAGCACUCCGCCUGGGGGAGUACGACCGCAAGGUUGAAACUCAAAGGAAUUGACGGGGGCCCGCACAAGCGGUGGAGCAUGUGGUUUAAUUCGAAGCAACGCGAAGAACCUUACCAGGUCUUGACAUCCUUUGACCACUCUAGAGAUAGAGCUUUCCCUUCGGGGACAAAGUGACACGUGGUGCAAGGUUGUCUUCAGCUCCUGUCCUGAGAAUGUUGGGGUUAAGUCCCGCCACCAACCGCCACCCCUCAUUACUAAUUGUCAGCAAUUU
RNAcentral lists this ribosomal RNA (1130 nucleotides) under Latilactobacillus sakei. RNAcentral describes it as "bacterial SSU rRNA". It matches the Rfam family "Bacterial small subunit ribosomal RNA", at positions 45 to 1127 of the family's 1533-position model. The record is from RNAcentral. Lineage: Bacteria; Bacillati; Bacillota; Bacilli; Lactobacillales; Lactobacillaceae.